This 309-nucleotide long non-coding RNA is filed under the name Equus caballus (horse). RNAcentral describes it as "lncRNA (ENSECAG00000033537.3)". The record is from RNAcentral. Lineage: Eukaryota; Metazoa; Chordata; Mammalia; Perissodactyla; Equidae.
CUGUGUACACUCCCUUUCCAGUUUCUCCUCUCAGGAUGCUUAGAAAAACAGGGACAUACUCCAUUCACUUCCAAAGUUCUUCAGGUCAGCACCUUAUUCCCCCAAACAUUUAUUAAAGAAUAAGUGAGACAUGAUGUGAAGUGGAAAACAGAGAGCCUCAGGAGCCUGGUGAUAAUGGAGCACAUGAGCCAUCAGCUUGUCUCUCCUGCUUUCUUCAGCAUCCUGUCUUUUGGGCUGUUACAAUCUGAUUCUAAACUUUAUGAUUUUGGCCUUUUUUGAGGAAUAAUAAAGCCCGGCCUUUGAGAACUG